UUCAGGGAGGUAGUGACAAGAAAUAACAACACUGGAAAUUUCAUUUCUAGUGAUUGGAAUGAUGGGAAUCCAAACCCCUUUCAGAGUAACAAUUGGAGGGCAAGUCUGGUGCCAGCAGCCGCGGUAAUUCCAGCUCCAAUAGCGUAUAUUAAAGUUGUUGCAGUUAAAAAGCUCGUAGUUGGAUAUCUGUUAGAAGCAGCCAGUCCGCUCUUUAAUGGGUGUGCACAUGGUCAAUUCUGACAUUGUUAUUCUGCGUAUACAUGCUCUUCUUCUGCUCCUUUGUUGUGGGCGGGGGGAGUGUUGUGUAUUGUGGAAUACUGUUACUUUGAGAAAAUUAGAGUGUUUCAAGCAGGCUUUUGUUGCUUUGAAUACUGCAGCAUGGAAUAACAAGAUAGGAUUUCGGUUCUAUUUUUCUUCUUGUUGGUUUCUAGGACUGAAGUAAUGAUUAAUAGGGACAGUUGGGGGCAUUCGUAUUUAACUGUCAGAGGUGAAAUUCUUAGAUUUGUUAAAGACGAACUACUGCGAAAGCAUUUGCCAAGGAUGUUUUCAUUAAUCAAGAACGAAAGUUAGGGGCUCGAAGACGAUCAGAUACCGUCGUAGUCUUAACCAUAAACUAUGCCGACUAGAGAUAGGAAAAUGUCAUUGUUGACUU
RNAcentral lists this ribosomal RNA (652 nucleotides) under Sarcocystis ovalis. RNAcentral's name for it is "SSU rRNA". It matches the Rfam family "Eukaryotic small subunit ribosomal RNA", at positions 455 to 1077 of the family's 1831-position model. The record is from RNAcentral. Lineage: Eukaryota; Apicomplexa; Conoidasida; Eucoccidiorida; Sarcocystidae.